RNAcentral lists this long non-coding RNA (174 nucleotides) under Taeniopygia guttata (zebra finch). RNAcentral's name for it is "lncRNA (ENSTGUG00000029603.1)". The record is from RNAcentral. Lineage: Eukaryota; Metazoa; Chordata; Aves; Passeriformes; Estrildidae.
CUGAGAGGAAUGCCCCCACUAUUUGCUAUCCCAGAUGCUAAGGUUGUGGGAGCUUGUUUUUAUGACAGAUUCCAUUGUGGGGUUUUGGAAAGAUAUACCUGUCCUGCUGCCACCCAGUGCAGAGCACAAUGAUUAGUUGAAGAUGGAAGUUGAUGUGAGUAGAUCAAAGCUCAG